This 399-nucleotide long non-coding RNA is filed under the name Fukomys damarensis (Damara mole-rat). RNAcentral's name for it is "lncRNA (ENSFDAG00000031306.1)". The record is from RNAcentral. Lineage: Eukaryota; Metazoa; Chordata; Mammalia; Rodentia; Bathyergidae.
GAUUUGGUCUGUGGUAAUGACUGUGUUUCCUUACAGCCAUUCUCCGUCCUGUGUGAAGCUGCUACUAUACACAAACAAGGCAGCACCCGGUCUGGCCUCUGGCAUCCCAGCGAGGUCAGGUCAACUGCAGAAGAGCUCAUUGCAAGAGGUCAUCUGCAUAUUGGAGCAGAGAGAGUCUCGGUUGUCAAAGGACCUUUGCAGCAACUUGAAGCAGCCCAAGAAUCCUUCAAGUUUCUGGAGUUUGUGGUGGUUAUCAGGAGCAUAGGGCCACCAAAGCAGCAUUGAACUGGUACUGCAGAAUUGUUUGGAAAUAUCUCCUUUUCCCUAACAAAUGCAUGACCUUUAACCCACAUAUUUCUCUCUUGUUCUGGACCCAGGAGAGAUGAGUUUGUACACCCA